Molecule: ribosomal RNA, 496 nt
Filed under: uncultured bacterium
Lineage: Bacteria
Description: partial 16S ribosomal RNA
Rfam family: Bacterial small subunit ribosomal RNA
Source: RNAcentral
GAUGAACGCUGGCGGCGUGCCUAAUACAUGCAAGUCGAGCGAACAGACGAGGAGCUUGCUCCUCUGACGUUAGCGGCGGACGGGUGAGUAACACGUGGAUAACCUACCUAUAAGACUGGGAUAACUUCGGGAAACCGGAGCUAAUCCCGGAUAAUAUAUUGAACCGCAUGGUUCAAUAGUGAAAGACGGUUUUGCUGUCACUUAUAGAUGGAUCCGCGCCGCAUUAGCUAGUUGUUAGGGUAACGGCUUACCAGGGCGACGAUGCGUAGCCGACCUGAGAGGGUGUACGGCCACACUGAAGCUGAGACGCGAUCCAGACUCCUACGGGAGGCAGCAGUAGGGACGCUUCCGCAAUGUGCGAAAGCCUGACGGAGCAACGCAGCGUGAGUGAUGAAGGUCUUCGGAUCGUAAAACUCUGUUAUUAGGGAAGAACAAAUGUGUAAGUAACUAUGCGCGUCUUGACGGUACCUAAUCAGAAAGCCACGGCUAACUACGG